GUGUGUGUGUGUAUAUCUGCAUGGUUUAUAAUUGUGUUCCUAUUUAGGGUUUGUAUCUGACCAUUAGCAAAUUUAUUAUAAAUGCAAAACAUUCAAUAAAAUUGAACUACCUUUUUCUUUGUUUCUUUUGAUAUUAACAAGUGUUAACAUGGAUGUUUUCAUUUUAUUUCUCAUAUUUUGGGGGGAGAAUUGGUAAAUUUUUCUGACAGCCUUUGGCCCACAACCUUUUAAAGGAAUGCUAACAUUUCCUGUCUUUCUAUGUGAAUGCCACCCAUUGGCUCACCCUUCCCCUCUCCCCUCCCCAGUGUUUUGGCUAUGGUCUACACCAUAUUAAUUUUCCCCAUCCCUUCUUCCAAAUUCCAUCCCUUUCCGGCUCUUCUUUGUCAGUGCAUACAUUUUCUUCUCUGUAAACACUAGGGUUUGUUUCAUUUUUUUAAUGUCUCCAGUGAUGUGCCCUGAUUUUGUUAGGAUUUUUGUACAGAGGAGGGGUACUAAAGUGAGUAUUAGAAGUUUGCCUUCUGCAUUUGUCAUUCAAUGUCCUGCAUUAGUUCUUCCAUGAUUUCUCUUCUCGAUACAAUACAGGCAGGCAUUACUUUUGUGUCUAAAGCUUACUAAUGAUAUAUUUCAAAGUUUUGCCAUUUUCAAGCUUCUGAAGUGUGACAUUUAUGUGUGCUCAGUUGUUUGUUUUAAAACCAAUUCCACUAUCAUGUAGUAAUUAAAUCCUUUUUCCAUGUGGUUUUGUUAAGACAUGAGUCACUUAGGUUUUUUGCUAACCAUAAGAAGUCACAUUACAGGGGUCUAUAUAUUCAUCAGCUGACAAAAGUGUGAAUUGAAUUAUCCAGGAAAUGAACCCUGCGUUUUCUGUAACACAGUGCUUCAUGAUGUUAUUUCAUUGUUCAUGUCUUCUUAGUACGUUUAACGUUUUACAAUAAUGAAGUUGACUCCACCUAGUUAGUAACUGCCGAAGAACUUAUUGGAGCUAAUAAAAAUAAUAUUCACCCUAAAUGUCUAAAAAGGUAAGGAACAUAUUUUAAAGUUAAACUUCAGAACUGUUAUUGUAGUCAUUUUUCUCAAUUAAGACAAUACAUUUAUCUUUUUAUCCUAUUUCCCUUUGGGAGAAUAGUCCCCUAACAAAAUGAGCUCUCAACCACAUUGAGUCGUGUGUGCAUAUGUGUGUGUGUGUGUGUGUGUGUGUGUGUGUGUUGAGUUAGUUAUUAAUUUAAAAGAUGAAUUUUGUGAAAACGUUUUUCUUGAUGUUUCAUUUCUAUGACAUUGACCUUAAACUUUCCAUUUUAUUUCUCUAAAGUACCUCAGGAAAGAAAUGUUAUGAAUAAACGUGAAGAAGAAAAGGAAAGAGAAGAGAUCAUGAGAAAGUCACAGGGGAUUCCUGUUUCAGGCAAGAAAUAACCUCCUCAAUAACUUUUAUUCACAUUCCAUUGGCAAGAGCUAAUUAUAUCGCCAAAUAAUGUGGCAGUGGAGAUAGAUAAUAUACUCUGGCCAGGACGGUGAUCUAAUGCAUCUCUCCUUUUAUCAGUUGUGGGUCAAAAGAAGCAGGAGCCAAGUACGUUGGGUGUCCUGUGACUAAAUGUUCCUGCAAGUACCAGCAAGAUGCAUGAAGCAAUUACUCUAGAAUGCUGCCUUUUUUUUUUCUUACAAGAAUACAAUCCUUAGAACUAUAGUAUCCUCCUUG
Molecule: non-coding RNA, 1690 nt
Organism: Sus scrofa (pig)
Lineage: Eukaryota; Metazoa; Chordata; Mammalia; Artiodactyla; Suidae
Source: RefSeq, a predicted model, not a curated record